CCAACAGAAUUUAUUGGCAUUCUGUCCACCUCCUCCACAUAUUAAUUUAUAUUUAUAUUAUAUAUAUACUUUAAUUUCUGUGUGUUUAUCGUUAUAAUUAAUUAUAAAUUAAAUUGAUUCAUUUGUUUGGUUUGGAGGUGGGCAUACUGCCAAUUGAGUUCUCUUUG
Molecule: non-coding RNA, 167 nt
Organism: Cucumis melo (muskmelon)
Lineage: Eukaryota; Viridiplantae; Streptophyta; Magnoliopsida; Cucurbitales; Cucurbitaceae
Source: Rfam